UACGAAGGGGGCUAGCGUUGCUCGGAAGCACUGGGCGUAAAGCGCACGUAGGCGGCUUGGCAAGUGGAAGGUGAAAUCCCUCGGCUUAACCGAGGAACUGCCCUCCAAACUGCUUUGCUUGAGGCCGGGAGAGGCGAGUGGAAUUCCCAGUGUAGCGGUGAAAUGCGUAGAUAUUGGGAGGAACACCAGUGGCGAAGGCGGCUCGCUGGACCGGUACUGACGCUGAGACGCGAAAGCGUGGGGAGCGAACAGG
This 253-nucleotide ribosomal RNA is filed under the name uncultured bacterium. Its description in RNAcentral is "partial 16S ribosomal RNA". It matches the Rfam family "Bacterial small subunit ribosomal RNA", at positions 524 to 776 of the family's 1533-position model. The record is from RNAcentral.